GUAUAAACUUUAUAGGCUGAGCCUAAUAAAACAUUCUUUUACAUACAUAGAGUAAAUAGAAAAACAUAGGCCUGAAAAUGUAAGGAAAGUGCUAGAGCACAGUCCUCUAAACCCAAGUUGCCUUGGAGAGUUAUUCAAGGUCUACAAAAUGUGCACAGGUGGAAAUAUAAAGAUGACAGGUUGAGCACAAUGUUCCCCAAAGGAAAACCAGCUACAAAAACCCAUCAGGUUUAUUUCAAUAAUGAUCCUUCCGCAGGUUCACCUACGGAAA
Molecule: unclassified non-coding RNA, 271 nt
Filed under: uncultured fungus
Lineage: Eukaryota; Fungi
Description: sequence contains ITS1
Source: RNAcentral